UACGGAGGAUCCAAGCGUUAUCCGGAUUUAUUGGGUUUAAAGGGUGCGUAGGUGGUCUAUUAAGUCAGGGGUGAAAGACGGCAGCUUAACUGUCGCAGUGCCUUUGAUACUGAUGGACUUGAAUGAACUAGAGGUAGGCGGAAUGUGACAAGUAGCGGUGAAAUGCAUAGAUAUGUCACAGAACACCAAUUGCGAAGGCAGCUUACUAUGGUUUUAUUGACACUGAGGCACGAAAGCGUGGGGAUCAAACAGG
This 253-nucleotide ribosomal RNA is filed under the name uncultured bacterium. RNAcentral describes it as "partial 16S ribosomal RNA". It matches the Rfam family "Bacterial small subunit ribosomal RNA", at positions 524 to 776 of the family's 1533-position model. The record is from RNAcentral.